This 746-nucleotide ribosomal RNA is filed under the name uncultured bacterium. RNAcentral describes it as "bacterial SSU rRNA". It matches the Rfam family "Bacterial small subunit ribosomal RNA", at positions 103 to 827 of the family's 1533-position model. The record is from RNAcentral.
CGGGUGAGUAACGCGUGGAUAAUCUGCCCGAGGAUUUGGGAUAACAUCUCGAAAGGGGUGCUAAUACCGAAUAAGCCCACGGGGUCUACGGAUCUUGCGGGAAAAGGGGGGGACUUUCGGGCCUCCUGUCUUCGGAUGAGUCCGCGUACCAUUAGCUAGUUGGUGGGGUAAUGGCCUACCAAGGCGACGAUGGUUAGCUGGUCUGAGAGGAUGAUCAGCCACACUGGAACUGAGACACGGUCCAGACUCCUACGGGAGGCAGCAGUGGGGAAUUUUGCGCAAUGGGGGAAACCCUGACGCAGCAACGCCGCGUGGGUGAUGAAGGCCUUCGGGUCGUAAAGCCCUGUCGGGAGGAAAGAAAUGAUUGAGGGCUAAUACCUCUUGAUCUUGACGGUACCUCCGAAGGAAGCACCGGCUAACUCCGUGCCAGCAGCCGCGGUAAUACGGAGGGUGCAAGCGUUGUUCGGAAUUAUUGGGCGUAAAGCGCGUGUAGGCGGUCUUUUAAGUCUGAUGUGAAAGCCCCGGGCUCAACCUGGGAAGUGCAUUGGAAACUGGGAGACUUGAGUACGGGAGAGGAGAGUGGAAUUCCUAGUGUAGGAGUGAAAUCCGUAGAUAUUAGGAGGAACACCGGUGGCGAAGGCGGCUCUCUGGACCGAUACUGACGCUGAGACGCGAAAGCGUGGGUAGCAAACAGGAUUAGAUACCCUGGUAGUCCACGCCGUAAACGAUGAGUACUAGGUGUUGCG